GGGUAGAGUAACGCGUGAGUAACCUGCCUUACACAAGGGGAUAGCCUUUGGAAACGAAGAAUAAUACCCUAUAAAACCAUAAAAGCACAUGCUAGAAUGGUCAAAGUGAUAGCGGUGUAAGAUGGACUUGCGUCUGAUUAGCUAGUUGGUGAGAUAAAAGCUCACCAAGGCAACGAUCAGUAGCCGGCUUGAGAGAGUGUACGGCCACAUUGGGACUGAGACACGGCCCAG
This 231-nucleotide ribosomal RNA is filed under the name uncultured Eubacteriales bacterium. RNAcentral describes it as "uncultured Clostridiales bacterium partial 16S ribosomal RNA". It matches the Rfam family "Bacterial small subunit ribosomal RNA", at positions 104 to 334 of the family's 1533-position model. The record is from RNAcentral. Lineage: Bacteria; Bacillati; Bacillota; Clostridia; Eubacteriales.